This 191-nucleotide non-coding RNA is filed under the name Clostridia bacterium. RNAcentral describes it as "6S RNA". It matches the Rfam family "6S / SsrS RNA". Rfam says of the family: E. coli 6S RNA was the first non coding RNA to be sequenced, but its function was unknown until recently. It consists of 184 nucleotides that fold into an extended hairpin structure with a large single-stranded internal bulge. The record is from RNAcentral. Lineage: Bacteria; Bacillati; Bacillota; Clostridia.
AUCCCCCUGCCUUGUGCGAUUAAAUGCUGCCUAUAUGUAACCCAACACGUUUUAAAAGGGAGCUUUGCUCCGGUGUGAGGAUUGCAGACCUCCCGCCUUUUGGCGGACGAAGGGAGCGAGAGACCUCCGGGAGGCACCCACCUGCUGAAGAGCAGGUUACAAUCGGCUGCAUACGGCUUGGCGGGGAUUCA